RNAcentral lists this unclassified non-coding RNA (205 nucleotides) under Hevea brasiliensis (rubber tree). The record is from RNAcentral. Lineage: Eukaryota; Viridiplantae; Streptophyta; Magnoliopsida; Malpighiales; Euphorbiaceae.
CUGCUCAGGAAGACGUUUGGAAGAACCACUUGAAGCCAUCACCAUAUCCCAUUUUGCGCACAAUGCUGCACAUAAACACCUCCAAAGGACGCACAUUUGUGUCUGCCAGGUUUACCUUCCCUUUUCCUGUAGUGAAGUUAGUCAGGCCUAGGUGGUAUCGCAACUCAUCCUCUGAAGCAGCAUAAGGUAUGUCAAUCUUGUUCCC